GAUGAACGCUAGCGGCAGGCCUAAUACAUGCAAGUCGAACGAUAUUAUCCAGCUUGCUGGAUAUGAAAGUGGCGCACGGGUGCGUAACGCGUAUGCAACCUACCUUAUUCAGGGGGAUAGCCCGAAGAAAUUCGGAUUAACACCGCAUAAAAUCACAGUUCAGCAUUGGACAAUGAUCAAAUAUUUAUAGGAAUAAGAUGGGCAUGCGUGUCAUUAGCUAGUUGGCGGGGUAACGGCCCACUAAGGCGACGAUGACUAGGGGAUCUGAGAGGAUGGCCCCCCACACUGGUACUGAGACACGGACCAGACUCCUACGGGAGGGACCAGUAAGGAAGAUUGGGCAAUGGAGGGAACUCUGAACCAGCCAUGCCGCGUGCAGGAAGACGGCCCGCUGGGUUGUAAACUGCUUUUAUUCGGGAAUAAACCUAUUUACGUGUAAAUAGCUGAAUGUACCGAAGGAAUAAGGAUCGGCUAACUCCGUGCCAGCCGCCGCCGUAA
Molecule: ribosomal RNA, 498 nt
Filed under: uncultured bacterium
Lineage: Bacteria
Description: partial 16S ribosomal RNA
Rfam family: Bacterial small subunit ribosomal RNA
Source: RNAcentral